UGCAUGCACUCCUGUAAGUCACUUUGGAUAAAAGGGUCUGCCUAAUGGCAUAUA
Non-coding RNA from Salmo salar (Atlantic salmon), 54 nucleotides. NCBI's taxonomy places the organism in Eukaryota, Metazoa, Chordata, Actinopteri, Salmoniformes, Salmonidae. The record is from Rfam.